AUUAAAAUGGCAGAUAAUAUGCACAAAACUUAGAAUUUUGUAAUGAGAUAGUCUUUUUUCUCUUUUAAUA
Molecule: transfer RNA, 70 nt
Filed under: Aegla aff. longirostri MHT-2018
Lineage: Eukaryota; Metazoa; Arthropoda; Malacostraca; Decapoda; Aeglidae
Description: tRNA-Leu
Source: RNAcentral